AGAGUUAUUUAUGCACAAGGUACUCUGCUGUAGAGAGGGUUGCUUACUAACACAGCCAGGGAGGACUGGGGAAGGAUUCCAGCUGCCUGAGCUAAGCCAGGAAGGGAAAAUUGGAGUUAGCAAGGCAAGGAAGGUCAUUCCAGGCAGUGGAAACAGAAUGAGCAAAGGCAAGAGAAAAGGCUAUUUGCUUUUGAGCUACUCCGGGAGAGGAGCAGAGUCGGUUUGAGUUGCAUGACUGACAUCUUCUGGCUACAGUGGAUAUUACAGAAAGACUGAAACUCCGCAAAAGUGUGUUUGAAAAAAAGAAAAGCACCCUGGAAUUUGGAUCAUUAAGUAUCUGCCAUUUAGAAUGUGCCCACAACUGCCAAAUCAAUAAUAGAAUAAAGCAAGGGGAAUCCCUGAGUCUUCAUGGAGUAAGAGCCACACCUUCUUAAGGGGAUCAAGGGGCAAAGUGACUUGAAGACAAUAUUAUCAUGAUAAAUAAGGAAAUAAGGGAAAGUGUGGAAGGUUUUCAUCUCAAUGGACAUGAAAAAGGUCAGAAAGGGGAAGAAUGGCACACUCAAUUUUUCUAAGCUGGGAAAGGAAAUGGUUGGAGUGCUGAACGUAUGUGUGUGUGCGUGUGUGCUCAUGCACAGUGCAUCUUGGCUAAUGAAAUGUACACAAGAGAAGUGUCAACAUAUUGAAAUGUACUCUUCCUUUUGUUUUACAUCUAUCCCCGAAGUGUGCAUUAUUAGAGUUGAGUGCAUUUAAUAAGCCAGGAUUAUCUCCUAGAGUUGCAGAGCAAGACAAAGCAAGUAGAGUCGGUAUCUGGAGACCUUUUUGCAAAGAAGACCAGGCCAGACAGCUGGCAUACAAUGCUGCUGGAAUUCAAACUUUGAAAUGUCCCACUCUGAAGCUCAUAUUAGAACUAUCAGAUGAAGAAAUGCAUGAGAUGACUAAAAUUAUGUAAUGAACAUCUUGAGGAGGUCAAAAUUUUUUCAAGUCACUACAGCAAAAGAUGUUUUCUGCCAUUAAAUAAUGUCUUAUAUAUUCCUAUAACUAUUCUAGUUAAAUGUAUAAUUGUGUUCGUAUGUGUUAAUUAGCAUUUAUGAUCCAUGUUUACAGAGUGCACGCACUGUGUUAGACACUGUAUUAGAAGUAAAAGAUAUUGCAAUGAAUGCUCAGGGAAACUAAGUUCUAACAGGGGAAAUAAACAACACAAUAGCAGCUUUUGAUAAAUAUUAGGUGGAACAAUAUGAAACUGCCAUGUUGGUUCAAUAUCAAAAUUUCAUCUGAUUUGACCUAACUAUCUAAAUAUUAAAGUAUUUUUUCAAGUGUCCCUACAGAAACUCAUGACAUACAUUUCUGUUAUUUGAAUAUUCUUAUACAUUGUUUUUUAUGGGAUUCGAUAUGCACUGAGUCUCUGCAGAGAGUAGGCAGUUUAUGGAAGAAUAUACAGUAAAUCUGAUCAACUUCUUAAGAAUUACUUAACCUUUACUUUAGCUUUCUGAUAAACUCUCAGAAGACAUCUGGCAAUAUCUGAAGACAGUUUUGGUUGUCAUACUGGUACCUGUUGAGUAGAGAUCAGGUAUGCUGCUAAAAUCCUAAAAUACACAGGACAUUCCCCCAAUAGGAAAGAGUUAUCCAGCUCAAAAGGUUAACAGUAACACACUUGGGAGAUCCUGCACUCAACACAAGAAGGGACCAGGCAAAGUUAAUUGGGGGGAAAAAAACAGUAAUAUAAGUAUACAUCCCAAAUCUUGGAGUUUAGCUUUCUCCAAACACCCAUUGUAUAUGUCUGUUGAGGUAAUCAAAUCUUAUGGUGAAAAAUAUGGACAGGAGUAAAAGUUAGAAUGAAGCUUAAGAAAAGUCUUCAUCAACAUUUAAGUUAACUAAAAUAGGACAAUAAACUUGACACACUAAAUAAAUUUGUUAUCAAUGAUCUCUCCUAAGUCUCAAAUGAGUAAUAAUGGGUACUAUAGAAGUCCUGUAAUUUCUACUCAUCCUUCCUUGCUCACUGGAAAACUUAGAGGAUCUCCCUCCUCUGAAAUUUCUAGCAGAUGCUUAUAAAUUUGUUUUUUGUAAACAAUAUGUGCACUAUUUUAUUUUCUAUAUCUAGUAUUCUGUGUUUUUUUAAUUUUUUUUUUUUUUUUUAG
RNAcentral lists this long non-coding RNA (2135 nucleotides) under Homo sapiens (human). Its description in RNAcentral is "HSALNT0141874". Lineage: Eukaryota; Metazoa; Chordata; Mammalia; Primates; Hominidae. The record is from RNAcentral.